GGCCCGUUCGUCUAGUGGUUAGGACACCACCCUUUCAAGGUGGUUACACGGGUUCGAGUCCCGUACGGGUCA
Molecule: transfer RNA, 72 nt
Filed under: Deltaproteobacteria bacterium
Lineage: Bacteria; Pseudomonadati; Myxococcota; Myxococcia
Description: tRNA-Glu
Rfam family: tRNA
About the family: Transfer RNA (tRNA) molecules are approximately 80 nucleotides in length.
Source: RNAcentral